Molecule: ribosomal RNA, 692 nt
Filed under: uncultured bacterium
Lineage: Bacteria
Description: bacterial SSU rRNA
Rfam family: Bacterial small subunit ribosomal RNA
Source: RNAcentral
AACGCUAGCUACAGGCUUAACACAUGCAAGUCGAGGGGCAGCGAGGGAGUGCUUGCACUUCUGUCGGCGACCGGCGCACGGGUGAGUAACGCGUAUGCAACCUACCUAUCAGAGGGGAAUAACCCGGCGAAAGUCGGACUAAUACCGCAUAAAACAGGGACACCGCAUGGUGAUAUUUGUUAAAGAAAUUCGCUGAUAGAUGGGCAUGCGUUCCAUUAGGUAGUUGGUGAGGUAACGGCUCACCAAGCCGACGAUGGAUAGGGGAACUGAGAGGUUGGUCCCCCACACUGGUACUGAGACACGGACCAGACUCCUACGGGAGGCAGCAGUGAGGAAUAUUGGUCAAUGGUCGGAAGACUGAACCAGCCAAGUAGCGUGAAGGAUGAAGGUUCUAUGGAUUGUAAACUUCUUUUAUACGGGAAUAAAACCUCCCACGUGUGGGAGCUUGUAUGUACCGUAUGAAUAAGCAUCGGCUAACUCCGUGCCAGCAGCCGCGGUAAUACGGAGGAUGCGAGCGUUAUCCGGAUUUAUUGGGUUUAAAGGGAGCGUAGACGGGGGAUUAAGUCAGUUGUGAAAGGCUGCGGCUCAACCGCAGCACUGCAGUUGAUACUGGUUUCCUUGAGUGCGGUUGAGGUGUAUGGAAUUCGUGGUGUAGCGGUGAAAUGCUUAGAUAUCACGAAGAACUCCGAUUG